Molecule: ribosomal RNA, 312 nt
Filed under: uncultured eukaryote
Lineage: Eukaryota
Description: partial 18S ribosomal RNA
Rfam family: Eukaryotic small subunit ribosomal RNA
Source: RNAcentral
CCCCUAGAUGUCCUGGGCCGCACGCGCAAUACAAUGUAAAGUUCAGAAAGCAUAUCCUGUUCCGGAAGGCAAUGGGUAAUCUUUUCAAUAUUUUACGUGUUAGGGAUCGAUCUUUGCAAUUAUAGAUCUUGAACGAGGAAUACCUAGUAAGUGCAGCUCAUCAGGCUGUACUGAUUACGUCCCUGCCCUUUGUACACACCGCCCGUCGCUCCUACCGAUUUCGAGUGGUCCGGUGAAUCUUUUGGAAUUAGAGUGCAAACUCAAACUAAGAUCGAUAAACCUUAUCACUUAGAGGAAGGAGAAGUCGUAACA